CUCCCUGAUCCUUGGCUUUCCCUUCCUCCACAGUGUGAUGAGAUUUCUGUGUACUCUUUGAAGUAUAUCCACAUUGGAGAAGUCUUCUGAGAAAAUUUCUGUGAACAUCUGAUCCUGGGGCUGAGGAAAACUUACUGCACAGUAAUCUCUACUUUCAUAUUACAUCAUAGGAAUUUGCUGCAGUUAAGGCAUUGUCUCCAUGAAGCCAGUGAACAAAUGUAAGUAGCUUUCCAGGAAGACAUCACAUAUUAAUGGAGUUUCUUAUACUUUUAGCAGAGAUCUCUUUUAGAUUAUGAAUAAAAAUAUCAAUAUUUGAGAAGUGCCAGAAAAGGAUGGAAAGCAUCUUUCAACUCAGAAGGAUUCUGGGUAACUCUAGCACAAGUC
This 384-nucleotide long non-coding RNA is filed under the name Ictidomys tridecemlineatus (thirteen-lined ground squirrel). RNAcentral's name for it is "lncRNA (ENSSTOG00000031551.1)". Lineage: Eukaryota; Metazoa; Chordata; Mammalia; Rodentia; Sciuridae. The record is from RNAcentral.